Molecule: ribosomal RNA, 398 nt
Filed under: uncultured bacterium
Lineage: Bacteria
Description: partial 16S ribosomal RNA
Rfam family: Bacterial small subunit ribosomal RNA
Source: RNAcentral
AUACGUAGGGUGCGAGCGUUGUCCGGAAUUACUGGGCGUAAAGAGCUCGUAGGUGGUUUGUCGCGUGGUCUGUGAAAUUCCGGGGCUUAACUCCGGGCGUGCAGGCGAUACGGGCAUAACUUGAGUACUGUAGGGGAGACUGGAAUUCCUGGUGUAGCGGUGAAAUGCGCAGAUAUCAGGAGGAACACCGGUGGCGAAGGCGGGUCUCUGGGCAGUAACUGACGCUGAGGAGCGAAAGCAUGGGUAGCGAACAGGAUUAGAUACCCUGGUAGUCCAUGCCGUAAACGGUGGGCGCUAGGUGUAGGGGUCUUCCACGACUUCUGUGCCGUAGCUAACGCAUUAAGCGCCCCGCCUGGGGAGUUCGGCCGCAAGGCUAAAACUCAAAUGAAUUGACGGGG